GACAGAGGUGCCGAGCGUUAGGCGGAAUCACUGGGCUUAAAGCGUGUGUAGGCGGACUCCUAAGUACCUUGUGAAAUCCCACGGCUCAACCGUGGAACUGCUUGGUAUACUGGGCGUCUUGAGCCAGCUAGGGGCAACCGGAACAAACGGUGGAGCGGUGAAAUGCGUAGAUAUUGUUUGGAACGCCGAUGGUGAAAACAGGUUGCUGGGGCUGCGCUGACGCUGAGACACGAAAGCCAGGGGAGCGAACGGG
Molecule: ribosomal RNA, 253 nt
Filed under: uncultured bacterium
Lineage: Bacteria
Description: partial 16S ribosomal RNA
Rfam family: Bacterial small subunit ribosomal RNA
Source: RNAcentral